UGAGGAAUAUUGGUCAAUGGUCGGGAGACUGAACCAGCCAAGCCGCGUGAGGGAUGAAGGUACAGAGUAUCGUAAACCUCUUUUGUCAGGGAACAAAAGGCGCCACGCGUGGCGCUCCGAGUGUACCUGAAGAAAAAGCAUCGGCUAACUCCGUGCCAGCAGCCGCGGUAAUACGGAGGAUGCGAGCGCUAUCCGGAUUUAUUGGGUUUAAAGGGUGCGUAGGCGGCGAGUUAAGUCAGCGGUAAAAGCCCGGGGCUCAACCCCGGCCCGCCGUUGAAACUGGCUUGCUUGAGUUGGAGAGAAGUAGGCGGAAUGCGCGGUGUAGCGGUGAAAUGCUUAGAUAUCGCGCAGAACUCCGAUUGCGAAGGCAGCCUACCGGCUCCAGACUGACGCUGAGGCACGAAAGCGUGGGUAUCGAACAGGAUUAGAUACCC
RNAcentral lists this ribosomal RNA (434 nucleotides) under uncultured bacterium. RNAcentral describes it as "bacterial SSU rRNA". It matches the Rfam family "Bacterial small subunit ribosomal RNA", at positions 355 to 787 of the family's 1533-position model. The record is from RNAcentral.